RNAcentral lists this ribosomal RNA (419 nucleotides) under uncultured Facklamia sp. RNAcentral describes it as "bacterial SSU rRNA". It matches the Rfam family "Bacterial small subunit ribosomal RNA", at positions 360 to 771 of the family's 1533-position model. The record is from RNAcentral. Lineage: Bacteria; Bacillati; Bacillota; Bacilli; Lactobacillales; Aerococcaceae.
AAUCUUCCGCAAUGGACGCAAGUCUGACGGAGCAACGCCGCGUGUGUGAAGAAGGUCUUCGGAUCGUAAAGCACUGUUGUUAGAGAAGAACGACCGGUAGAGUAACUGUUACCGGAGUGACGGUAUCUAACCAGAAAGCCACGGCUAACUACGUGCCAGCAGCCGCGGUAAUACGUAGGUGGCAAGCGUUGUCCGGAUUUAUUGGGCGUAAAGGGAGCGCAGGCGGUGACUUAAGUCUGAUGUGAAAGCCCACGGCUCAACCGUGGAGGGUCAUUGGAAACUGGGUCACUUGAGUACAGAAGAGGAAAGCGGAAUUCCAUGUGUAGCGGUGAAAUGCGUAGAUAUAUGGAGGAACACCAGUGGCGAAAGCGGCUUUCUGGUCUGAGACUGACGCUGAGGCUCGAAAGCGUGGGGAGCAA